Anser cygnoides (Swan goose) is the source of this 1999-nucleotide long non-coding RNA. NCBI's taxonomy places the organism in Eukaryota, Metazoa, Chordata, Aves, Anseriformes, Anatidae. The record is from Ensembl.
GCCGGCGCCCGACGUGCGGAAGAGGCUCCUGGAGCUGCUCGUCCUCCUCACGGAGUGCUUCCCCCGCUCCGUGCUCAUGACCGUGCUCUUCAUCUGCCCGUCCCAAGAAAGGUACCGGCCCCCGAGCCUCCAGGGCGCCCCAAACCGCAGCCCCCGGGGCUCCCCCGAUAACCCCGCGGGGCCCCCGCCGAUAACGCCCUCUCCGUGCCCGCAGCGCCUCGAUGGACAUGUGGGAGGUGAUGUUUGCCGUGCCCGCCAUGGCGAAGCGGCUCCUGCACGAGCUCCACCUGCUGCUGCACGACAGGAACAUCCGCGAGUUCCUCGGGGUGGCCGAGGACCUCAGCCUCGUCCGCCUCAGCCUCCUCUACGCCCAGCGCCCCGAAGACCCCGUCCCCAAGGAGCUGCGGGACGUGGAGUGCCUGCAGCGCUGCCUCAGGACCGCCAACUUCCACCUGCUCUGGCUGGCGCUCAAAGGCCUGGCGGCGCUGAUGGAGAGGCCGCAGCUGGUGAGCCUCCGCCCUCUUCCCCUCCCCGCUCCCGGCCUCGGCUGGCGGCGCGGCGGCCUCCUCACGCCCCGGUGUUUUCGGCGCAGGCCAAGGCAGGGCAGUGCCUGCUGCCGGACGUGCUGGAGACCCUGCAGUUCGGCAAGCCCCACAUCACGGCGGCGGCCCUGGCGGUCUGCGGCAACAUCCUCGGCAUCGUGGAGAAGAAGGCGGCCAGCCUCACCGCCCUCGAGCUGGUCGACGUGGUCAAGCCUCUCCUGGACAACGAGGCCGCCGCGGUGCGGGAGAGCUCCAUGAAGCUCUUCAAGGCGGCCAUGGAGCGCGUGCUGUGGAGGCACAAGACGCAGAUGUGGAAGAAGGUGCGCAAGAUCCUCGUCCCGCUCUACCUGCGCAUGAGCGACGAGACCCACAGCGUGGCCAAGGCCUCCCAAGAAGCCCUCAUGGCGGCGGCGGAGCUCUUGUGGUGGGAUGAGCUGAAGGACGUGGCCCACAUGGAGCAGACCUGGAGGAUCAGAGCGUGCCUGGUGAGGGCGGCCUCCGCGGCGAGGCUGGCGGGGGGCUCUCGGGGGCUCCCCGAGGUGGGGGGGAAGAAACGGGGCCGGGGAGGCUCACCGAGCCUCGCGGCCUCUCCAGCUGCAGCAGGAUCGAGACCGGGUAGAGAAGCGCCUACAGCAGAGCCGGGCGUACCUGGAGGACCCUCAGGCAUCCGUGCGCGAGGAGACCGUGAGGUUCAUCGGUGAGGCCACCUCCCUGCCCCAGCGGCCUCCGCAAGAGGCCCCGCGGCCUCCCCUCGCCCUGCCCGGGGCGGAGGCUGACGGGCGGCUUUGCUCCUAGGGCUCGCCGCGGAGCUCCUCCAGGACCAGAGCGAAGAGAAGCUGCGCGAAAUCAUCGACAGUGAGUGAGGGGAGCACUGGAGGCCGGGCGGGGGAGGACUGGAGGCCGGGCCUCCGCCCCGGGGGAGGCGCGGUGGAGGCUGGGGGGGGGAACGAAUCGGGGGGGCCGCGGGGCGCUCGGAGCGGCUGCUCCCCGCGUUCCUCCCGGCUGGGGGGCUCCCGGAGGGGUCUCCGCGGCCCGAGCGGAGGCUCCAGCCUCUCUCCGUCCUCCCGCAGUCCUGCAGCCCAUGAUGCACGACGCGGCGCCCUCGGUGCGCGCGGAGACCUCCCGCACCAUCCAGGCCCUGCUGCAGCAUCGCAAGUGGCUCCGGCGGCUGCCGGUGCCGUGGAACCCGCUGGCGGCGCUCUGCUGCUGGCCUCGAAGGCGCCGCCAGAGGCCGAAGACCGAGCCCCAGCCCGAGGAGAGCCCAGAAGGUUCCGGCUCUGAAGGGACGUCCAAGGACCCAUCCCCCUGCCAGAGCAAGGACGACUAGCUCACCUCACGGCCGCAGGGGGUUCGGAUGCCUGCAGAGGAGCCUCCGCACCCCCCCCGGGCAGCCUGCUCCACGUUUUGCCGCCCUCACCACAAAUAAAUUUCGUCCCCAUGUUUGUCCGGUGCCUCCU